AAAUGACUGUUUUCCUUCUCUCUUAGGAAUAUCAUUCAUCCAGAGUGUUUAAUUUGUGGAAAGAAGAUAGUUGCAGAUGAUGCAAUUUUUAAUUUUGGCCCUGCCAACUCAUUGCUGCUGAACCUGAACAGAUGGGAGAAUUCAUUUCCAAAGCACUUUGUGCCCCAUUCACUUGUUUUGG
This is a long non-coding RNA of Nothoprocta perdicaria, 181 nucleotides long. RefSeq lists it as uncharacterized. The transcript has 2 exons. NCBI's taxonomy places the organism in Eukaryota, Metazoa, Chordata, Aves, Tinamiformes, Tinamidae. The record is from RefSeq and is a predicted model, not a curated record.